This 377-nucleotide unclassified non-coding RNA is filed under the name uncultured Oligoflexales bacterium. Its description in RNAcentral is "contains 16S-23S intergenic spacer region". The record is from RNAcentral. Lineage: Bacteria; Pseudomonadati; Bdellovibrionota; Oligoflexia; Oligoflexales.
UCCGGUUUAACACCGGCGGUCUCCUUAGAGUGCCCAACUAAAUGGUGGCAACUAGGGAUAAGGGUUGCGCUCGUUAAGGGACUUAACCCGACAUCUCACGAUACGAGCUGACGACAGCCAUGCAGCACCUGUCUCUCUGUCCCCGAAGGGAAGAUCCUACUUCUAGGACUGUCAGAGGAUGUCAAAUCCAGGUAAGGUUCUUCGCGUUGCAUCGAAUUAAACCACAUGCUCCACCGCUUGUGCGGGCCCCCGUCAAUUCCUUUGAGUUUUAACCUUGCGGCCGUACUUCCCAGGCGGGAUACUUAAUGCGUUAGCUGCGGCACUGCAGGGGUCAAUUCCUGCAACACCUAGUAUCCAUCGUUUACAGCGUGGACUAC